UACGUAGGUGACAAGCGUUGUCCGGAUUUACUAGGCGUAAAGAGCGCGCAGGCGGUCGAUCAAGUCGAGUGUGAAAGCCCCCGGCUCAACUGGGGAGGGUCAUUCGAUACUGAUCGACUCGAAGGCAGGAGAGGGUAGUGGAAUUCCCGGUGUAGUGGUGAAAUGCGUAGAUAUCGAGAGGAACACCAGUGGCGAAGGCGAGUCCCUGGACAGAUCCUGACGCUGAGGCACGAAAGCUAGGGGAGCAAACAGG
This 253-nucleotide ribosomal RNA is filed under the name uncultured bacterium. RNAcentral's name for it is "partial 16S ribosomal RNA". It matches the Rfam family "Bacterial small subunit ribosomal RNA", at positions 524 to 776 of the family's 1533-position model. The record is from RNAcentral.